GCCUUCGUGGUGUAGUGGUCAGCAUGCUGGACGCGUAUUCGAGAGGUUCGUGGUUCGAAUCCCAGUGAGGGCA
RNAcentral lists this transfer RNA (73 nucleotides) under Stegodyphus mimosarum. It matches the Rfam family "tRNA". From Rfam's summary of the family: Transfer RNA (tRNA) molecules are approximately 80 nucleotides in length. Lineage: Eukaryota; Metazoa; Arthropoda; Arachnida; Araneae; Eresidae. The record is from Rfam by way of RNAcentral.